Molecule: ribosomal RNA, 467 nt
Filed under: uncultured bacterium
Lineage: Bacteria
Description: partial 16S ribosomal RNA
Rfam family: Bacterial small subunit ribosomal RNA
Source: RNAcentral
GAUGAACGCUGGCGGCGUGCUUAACACAUGCAAGUCGAACGGAAAGGCUCCUGCUUGCAGGGGUACUCGAGUGGCGAACGGGUGAGUAACACGUGGGUGAUCUGCCCUGCACUUCGGGAUAAGCCUGGGAAACUGGGUCUAAUACCGGAUAGGACCACAUUUUGGAUGGUGUGGUGGAAAGUUUUUCGGUGUGGGAUGAGCUCGCGGCCUAUCAGCUUGUUGGUGGGGUAAUGGCCUACCAAGGCGUCGACGGGUAGCCGGCCUGAGAGGGUGUACGGCCACAUUGGGACUGAGAUACGGCCCAGACUCCGACGGGAGGCAGCAGUGGGGAAUAUUGCACAAUGGGCGCAAGCCUGGUGCAGCGACGCCGCGUGGGGGAUGACGGCCUUCGGGUUGUAAACUCCUUUCGCUAGGGACGAAGCGUUUUUGUGACGGUACCUGGAGAAGAAGCACCGGCUAAUUACGUG